CCUACGGGUGGCAGCAGUGGGGGAUAUUGGGCAAUGGAGGCAACCCUGAUCCAGCGACGCCGCGUGAGUGAAGAAGUACCUCGGAAUGUAAAGCUCUAUCAGCAGGGAUGAAGAAAUGACGGUUACUGAGUAAGCAGCCCCGGCUAACUACGUUGCAGCAGCCGCGGUAAUACGUAGGGGGCAAGCGUUAUCCGGAAUUACUGGGUGGAAAGGGAGCGUAGACGGUGAUGUAAGUCUGGAGUGAAAGGCGGGGGCCCAACCCCCGGACUGCUCCCGAAACUAUGUGACUGGAGUGCAGGAGAGGUGAGUGGAAUUCCUAGUGUAGCGGUGAAAUGCGUAGAUAUUAGGAGGAACACCAGUGGCGAAGGCGGCUCACUGGACUGUAACUGACGCUGAGGCUCGAAAGCGUGGGGAGCAAACAGGAUUAGAUACCCGAGUAGUC
RNAcentral lists this ribosomal RNA (442 nucleotides) under uncultured bacterium. RNAcentral describes it as "partial 16S ribosomal RNA". It matches the Rfam family "Bacterial small subunit ribosomal RNA", at positions 338 to 795 of the family's 1533-position model. The record is from RNAcentral.